This 253-nucleotide ribosomal RNA is filed under the name uncultured bacterium. RNAcentral's name for it is "partial 16S ribosomal RNA". It matches the Rfam family "Bacterial small subunit ribosomal RNA", at positions 524 to 776 of the family's 1533-position model. The record is from RNAcentral.
GACGAACCGUGCAAACGUUAUUCGGAAUCACUGGGCUUAAAGGGCGCGUAGGCGGGCUGGUAAGUCAGGGGUGAAAGCCCACGGCCCAACCGUGGAAGUGCCUUUGAUACUGCCAGUCUCGAGGGAGGUAGGGGCGUGCGGAACUUCCGGUGGAGCGGUGAAAUGCGUAGAUAUCGGAAGGAACACCGGUGGCGAAAGCGGCGCGCUGGACCUCUUCUGACGCUGAGGCGCGAAAGCGUGGGGAGCGAACAGG